UCGCGGGGUAGAGCAGUAGGCAGCUCGUCGGGCUCAUAACCCGAAGGUCACUGGUUCGAGUCCAGUCCCCGCUACUAA
Molecule: transfer RNA, 78 nt
Filed under: Capnocytophaga gingivalis ATCC 33624
Lineage: Bacteria; Pseudomonadati; Bacteroidota; Flavobacteriia; Flavobacteriales; Flavobacteriaceae
Description: tRNA-Met
Rfam family: tRNA
About the family: Transfer RNA (tRNA) molecules are approximately 80 nucleotides in length.
Source: RNAcentral